UUUGUGAAAUUCGUUAAGGUUCGAAUCUCGUGACUACCGUUAAGGUUUGAUUUGGGUUUUACACAAAUACGUAUUCCAUUCUGUUAAACUAUAUGUUUAACUACCGAAAAUACUUCCCACUACACACUCACAAUCAAACAAACUAUUAAAUCAUCAGAAGAUCCAGAAUAAUAAAGUGCAUGCUUAAUUAUCGGAAGAAGUAGAAUCAAGAAGCUUGUUAACUCAAUCUUGCAUGCUUAUAAAAUAAUUACAGUAGAUUGGAGUAAGAAUUGGAUCCAACACUGAAGGACUUCAAGAAGUGGCUUAUU
Molecule: long non-coding RNA, 308 nt
Filed under: Helianthus annuus (common sunflower)
Lineage: Eukaryota; Viridiplantae; Streptophyta; Magnoliopsida; Asterales; Asteraceae
Description: sRNA HanXRQr2_Chr04g0177071
Source: RNAcentral